UGGGGAAUUUUGGACAAUGGGCGCAACCUGAUCCAGCAAUGCCGCGUGAGUGAAGAAGGCCUUCGGGUUGUAAAGCUCUUUUGUCAGGGAAGAAAAGGUAUCUCCUAAUACGGGGUGCUCAUGACGGUACCUGAAGAAUAAGCACCGGCUAACUACGUGCCAGCAGCCGCGGUAAUACGUAGGGUGCAAGCGUUAAUCGGAAUUACUGGGCGUAAAGCGUGCGCAGGCGGUUAUAUAAGUCAGAUGUGAAAUCCCCGGGCUCAACCUGGGAACUGCAUUUGAGACUGUAUGGCUAGAGUGUGUCAGAGGGGGGUAGAAUUCCACGUGUAGCAGUGAAAUGCGUAGAUAUGUGGAGGAAUACCGAUGGCGAAGGCAGCCCCCUGGGAUAACACUGACGCUCAUGCACGAAAGCGUGGGGAGCAAACAGGAUUAGAUACCCUGGUAGUCCACGCCCUAAACGAUGUCUACUAGUUGUUGGGUCUUAAUUGACUUAGUAACGCAGCUAACGCGUGAAGUAGACCGCCUGGGGAGUACGUCGCAAGAUUA
This 546-nucleotide ribosomal RNA is filed under the name uncultured beta proteobacterium. Its description in RNAcentral is "bacterial SSU rRNA". It matches the Rfam family "Bacterial small subunit ribosomal RNA", at positions 355 to 896 of the family's 1533-position model. The record is from RNAcentral. Lineage: Bacteria; Pseudomonadati; Pseudomonadota; Betaproteobacteria.